AUCUAAGCAUGAAGCCCCCCUCAAGAUGAGAUUUCCCAACUUCGGUUAUAAGAUCCCUCAGAGAUGAUGAGGUUAAUAGGUUCGAGGUGGAAGCGUGGUGACACGUGGAGCUGACGAAUACUAAUCGAUCGAAGACUUAAUCAAUUU
RNAcentral lists this ribosomal RNA (147 nucleotides) under Staphylococcus hominis. RNAcentral's name for it is "partial 23S ribosomal RNA". It matches the Rfam family "Bacterial large subunit ribosomal RNA", at positions 2779 to 2925 of the family's 2925-position model. Lineage: Bacteria; Bacillati; Bacillota; Bacilli; Caryophanales; Staphylococcaceae. The record is from RNAcentral.